RNAcentral lists this long non-coding RNA (3652 nucleotides) under Chinchilla lanigera (long-tailed chinchilla). Its description in RNAcentral is "lncRNA (ENSCLAG00000028946.1)". Lineage: Eukaryota; Metazoa; Chordata; Mammalia; Rodentia; Chinchillidae. The record is from RNAcentral.
GCAGGCUUGAGUUUGGACCUAUCAGAGGCCUGCUGCUGCUAUAUAAGCAGCACUCCCCAUGCAGUGGCAGCUGGUCCAGGAGGCCCCAUCCUGCUCACCGUCCCAGGCUGCAGCACAGGCCCUGUUCAGACGGGGCCCCCUCCAGGUCCUGUAAAUCUGGUUGUGAUCUAUUUCUCUGUAUCGUGGACUCAGAAAUCCUGUAAAUCUAUUCAGGGAAACCCUGAGUGAUGUGGCAGAGCGGUAGCUUUAGAAGAGCUGUGAACACCAGGGGCUGUCAGCCCUGAGGAGCCUGGAGAGCAGCAGCCCAUGCAGAUCAGCUGUGGAGCAGCAGACAGGAGAGCUGACCACGGCAGCGAGUGUCGACCGGAAGCGGCCAGCAGCCCACAGGACCGGUGCCCAGCAUCCACAGCAGAGUCGAGUGGGGAACCCAGGCCCAGAGCCCUGGUGCUCAGUGCUCAGGGCUGAGGGACAUCGGUGCUCAGAGCGCAGAGCCCAGAGAGCAUGCACAGCUGGGGACAGAGGCGGGGCCUCGCUCUCUGGCACUGCUGGUCUUUUUAGACUUUAUUCUCUGUGGCUGGUUCCUCCUCCUCUUGGGGUCGCCUUGUCACCUCCAAGCCUUCCAGCCUGGUUUACUUCCUGCUGCGCCCAGCUCACCAUCUCCUCCUCCAUGCUCCGGGAGUCUCAGUUCUCCCAGUCACCGUCUGGGCUGGUCCAGCAGCCUGCGUCUCUCAGCUCCGGGGGUCUGAGCCGCGGAUGGGCAGGAGGAGGCCCGGGCACACUGCUGCUGCCAGCCACUGCCAGGCUGAGAGGGCUGGUGGCCCCCACUGCCCCGGGGCCCGGGCCCAGCACUGCCCCGCCGUCAGGUUCUCUGCCGUUCCCUCUCCCACUUCUCCCGGCAAACCCAGCCAGAGGCGGAAUAACAAACCCUGACACAAAACGCCAGUGCGAGACUCCGGUCGGCCGGCGGCGAGGACCUGUGUGGACGCUGAGGACCUGGGCCAGGGACGGGCAGCCAACACCACACCUCCCAAGUCACACCCCAGCUGCCAGACGUCUUCAUCAGGACUCAGGCGAAUCUGGGGCCUCUCUGCCGUCUCCCCAGCAGCUCUGCGGAGGAGGGAGGGACCGCGUACCCGCUCUGUGACUCUUCCUCCGGAACACAACUCUUCUUGGGGCAGAAUGGACGCUAGGCCAGGUCAGCCUGUGGCCUUUCAGCCCAAAAGCUGUUUCCUCCCUUGCACCCAAGCACCCACCUCGGCUGUGACCCCGGCCAGCAGGGGUCCUGGGAGCCGCCACUGCCUUACUUGAAAGCCGGGGGUGGGGGGGAGGCAGCAGCUGGCGCGCUGGAGGAAGGACAUGGCAAGUGGAAGAUGAGCACUGUCACCGCCCUUAGGGGCUCAACCGCCGAGGUCACCUCAGGGACACCCAGUGGUACAAGUGUGUGACCAACCCCUUCACAGCCAACACUGGGGCUCCAGAGCUGAAACAUCCAAUGUGCAGCAAGAUUUCCCUUCAACUUCCUGAAGACAAGGAGCUGGGAUUUCUUCUCCAAUCACCGUGCCUCUGGGUAGAACAGUCUGCUGGCUGAGAGGCAGGGCAGGACAGCGCUUAGGAGCUGACUCGAGUCAGACGGGACUCCAGGCCUAUUUCAUCGCUCACCGCAGGCAGACUUGGGUUUAAAGUGGUGUCCACACCCUGAAGCCGGCGGCUGGUGUGUCUACAGCGCCGCCCACAGGCCACUGCCCAGCAUCUCUCCUGCUGGCGCCCGCCGCCCAGCUCAAGGCUCGGUCUUCCUGCCCACAGAGCCCUCCCUUCCUUCUCCUCGUCCCUGUGCCGCCCUGUGCGGGGCACCUCUCUAUCUGCCUGGCCCUGCGCCCUCUGCCUGCUGCGGCUGAUGCUCUGUAAACUGCUGAGCUGUGUGCAGCCCUGCACAGAGGCGGAGCAGCUUGGCCGCAGGCAGCAGGGACUUUGAGGCAUUGCUCUGGCGUCACCCGCGGACGCUGCUGACCAGCGAGCCCCGUGUCCCUCUCCGCAGGGCGUCCGUGCAGGGCUGCAGCCCCGUCUCCACAGCGCUGCGGGAGACAGUCCUGGCUCACUAAAUUAGGACAGGGAAGGACAUAAUCUCCCACUUCUGUUUCAUUUCAUCCCGGGAUAAGGCCGAAAGAGGCCGUGCAUUUCCCGGCCGGCCUGGUUUUCUUCUCAGUUGGUCUGCGUGUGUUUACCAAAUAGACGCCCCGGGCUCCCUAGCAACUCGCAGCAGGGCGAGCCCCUCCUGAUAGCCCGGAGACGGAUGAAUUGCUGAUGAGAAGGAUCCAUGAAGUUUUUAAUUGGUUUAGUUAGAUUAUUUCCAGUCAACAAUUCCUGAGUUUAGUGGUAGAAGAUAGAUCUGUUUUCCAUAAACGUUAAAUGCCAAACUUUUGAAUCACUCUGAGUAAAAACCUUUCCCUUACAGAGCUACUUGCUAUCAUUUGAUUUACAGCAAAAAAUAAAGGCUUGGUUAGAGAGUCUGGCCGCAGCAUGGCACGCAGCAGGGGCGGGAGAUACGAGCAACACCGGCUCGCGCUGGCACCGAGGACGAGCGCGGAGCCAGCUACCGCUCCGGGAAACAAAGAAAGGCGGCCUAACCGCCCUGGCUCCCUGGCUCUCUCCCCUCGCAGCGCUUUCUAGUUUGGAAAGGCUUCUCCGCCCAGUUGCGCGUGGGCCGGGAGACGGUCAGGUAAGACAAGUCACAGCCCAACAAUCCGAGUGUCGUCAGCUGGUGCCCGGCGCCCAUAGCACAGAGGGAGGAGUUAGACCCUGGAAGCGGGCACCGGCCCCAAGCAGCCUCAACACCGGCCAGCACCACCCUGUGCCCCUGCGGCCCACCAUCCCCAGGGCCUGGGGGAGGCAGGAAUCGAAAGCGGCCAGGCACCACCAGGGGGCAGCAGCCUGGUGGGCGCAUUGAAGACACCAGGCCUGCUGUCUCUUCCCUCAGGGAGUGCGCUGCCCUGGGGAGCUGUUGGGGUGGGGCUGCUCCGGUGACUCCUGGGGUUGCUCACUUCUCCUUCAAGCCAAGUAAAGAGGGGGAGCAGAGAUGACGCUCGCUGUGUGCUGUGGGGCCUGACUUUGCCAUCGCUGCAAGUUCCCAGCCAUCUCUGCACCCCGUUACCCUCUGCUCCAGUGGAGGACUCCAACCCUCCAAGCCCCAGCCACACCUCUGGGCAGCGGGUCACCCUGACACCACGUCGCCCACAGCUGGUGCCUGCGCCAGGCCCCUGAGCCCUUGGGACACGCCCCGCGCAGGGAGCCGACGGAGGCAAAGGGCCUCUGGGAGGUGCCCACCGCUGCUCUAUUCCCAUCUGAGGCAGAGCAGCAAAGGCAGAACGUCAGGGUCGGGCACAACAGUGUCUCCUCUUCCGACAGGUCGCUGGGGCCCUGGGGCAGCCAGCCUGGUGCUCCAGGAGGGCGCGCCAUGUGUGCAGCUGUGGUCCUGGGUCACAGUCCCCGCCGAGCACAGAGCGGGCCAGGAGGCCAGGCGGGAACCACCAAGGCCCGCGCCAACCCCGGGUGAGAGACUGGCCUUCCCUGAUGCGACAACAGCAGGCGAAGGCUGAGGGUGGGAGUCCUCGGCUGCUCGUCAUCAGCUGGGUCUAGGAAGCAGCGCGUUGUCAAA